UGAGUAACCAAACGUUUCUCCCACUGAAAACGUCCAGAUGAACAGGAUCAACUUCAGUCUUCUGACUGAAACCAGCUCACUGGGUCAACAAUGGUUUGUGAGGUUAGUUCCUUGAUAUGCAAAUUAUCAUCACCAUUGAUCGAUGGCCCUGAAUACCAUUCACGGAGUUUUUUAUGGACUGGAGCACUUUCUUAACAGCUUCAGAACAUCAUCCUCAUCAUCACAUCUACCGUGCAACCUUAACUUGCUCUAACAAUAACCAAAACUUCCACUGAGAGAAUAUUGUGAAAUCUGAAUAUUUGUUUCCUUUAACUUGUGAUCAGUAUUGAAAUGGAAAAAAAUGAGACCGUGUGGAGAGAAUAAUGUGGAUCCAAAUGCAGAUAACUAGAGGUGGCCCGCUUGAAGCUGACGCUUUGGUGCGUGUGUCAGAAAAACCAACACACUGCUUCAGAAGCACUGUGUUGAGGCUUGAUUAGUUUGGCCAGAGUCACGUGAUCAUUGACGUCCGGAGCUUCAUUUAGAACAUAAGUGAUUAAGUGGUUUAUAGGGAAGUGAAUCAUUCCCGGGAUUUGUGGAGAGUUUUCAUGGUGACAGAUAGCAAACCACUGAUCAUUCUACUGGGAGCUAUGGAGCCAGUGAGAAAAAGAUUCUGUCGUGUGGGAGUAUUUUGAGUUGACUUUGGUCAGUCAGUCUGUGGGACCCAGGAAGACCGUACACCUGCAUCUCUACAGUUUCUGCACACCAGCGUCUUCUGUUCAUGUGAGAGGAUUUUCUCUGAGCAUGUCUUUCAUCCUGUUUUCCUUCUUCACCCCAACUGGUCGCAGCAGAUGGCCGCCCCUCCCUGAGCCUGGUUCUGCCGGAGGUUUCUUCCUGUUAAAAGGGAGUUUUUCCUUCCCACUGUCGCCAAAGUGCUUGCUCAUAGGGGGUCAUAUGAUAUGAUUGUUGGCCUUUUCUCUGUAUUUAUUAUUGUGCUAUCUACUGUACAAUAUAAAGCGCCUUGAGGCGACUUUUGUUGUGAUUUGGCGCUAUAUAAAUAAAAUUGAAUUGAAUUGAAUUGAAUACGAUAAACUAACAAAGACGUAAACUUGAACAGCUAAACUUAACGGUGUGAAAUACAAAGAAAACCAACAAAGAAACCAAUAAUACAAAACAUCUGAAACUAGGAACCGGUGGCACUAAAACACCUGGGAUGACAUUCAGGACGAUAAUCAGACAAUUGGGGAAGGAAAAGAGGGAAACACAGUAAAAAUACACAAGCAGGGCAACGAGAGGAUGGGGAACAGGUGGGAACAUGGCUGGGAUUAAUCACAUGUGACAAGGCGGGCAAGAGAGCAAAACUGAGGGCAUUGACACAGAACACCGAUUGUCAAAGUAAAACAGGAAGUACAAGACAGACACAGAGGCGCAGACACUGGGGCAUGGAAACAUGACUGGAGGAAAGGUGAGGCACAGGAACAGAACAGAAAUCAGGAACACUAAGUAUAGUACAACAGAAAACCAUAAUACAAAGAAUGAAACUUCACCCAAAAACACAAAACACUGGGUAACAAACCCAGGACCGUGACAACUUCAGCUGAUGUUGUGUUACAAAUAAUUUCUUCUUAACUCUGGGAUAUGUGCACAUGGCCUUUCAGUCAGUCCAUGAAAACCAAACUAUGAUGUCUAAAGUAAGCAGCAAGAGAAUGUCUUCUGUUUGUCUCCUCGCUGGCAGGAGAAUGGAUAAUAAUGACUCAAAGGCUAAAACAUCUAACACUGUCACAGUGGGGAUUUUUAAACACACGAAACAAAAUAAAAUAAGAGAUGAAAUAUUAUCUUUCAGCAGACAACUCCACAGCAUAUUAACAUUUAAUAUAAAAAGAACAAAGGCUUGUCACAUAAAAGACUGUAAUGUUAUAGCUCAUUCGGGUAAACACACCACCACUCUGAGGGGUCCAACACUUGGGUAUUCAUCUUUAGUGGUUCAUGUGCUUUCUCUGGGUUUUGGAAAGGUGGACAUACCCGUGUGGGAACCCUUGGUUUCUAGUGUACGAAAACACUGGAAACCAAACAAACCCCUUUGGGUGAAGGACACCAAUGUUCACAUUUAGGACAGAGAAGAUGGUUUGAAAGAGGAGUGAAAGAAGCCAUUUAUGUGCACUGUGCACAAAGAGCACAGUGCACAAAACUGUAGGAUUAACAUGCCGUUUAAUAGGGCUGAUAAAAAGAUAUAAACAAGGGGCAAAGGCAAAACUAAUGCAAAACCUAACAUUGAGCUAAACUGGGUUUAGGUUAAAGUUUGACAAAACCCACAGCUCACAAACAACGUGGAGCAAUCCCACACACACAUAGAUGGUUUGUUACACGCAGUGAGUAGGGCCAGCUUUACUCACACAGCCUCAGAUUUUUAAAGUUAGAUGUAACAGAUGUAACUUCCACUUUUGAUUAAGAUCACUCCAUCUGCAUAUUUCUUAAGUGUCUUUAUUAAGCCCUUAUUUAUAAAUGUCUACACAAUAAUAGACACUGUGUGCUCUGUGACAUUAUAGUCUUCUACUUCUGCUUCCAUUAGUUUGCAUUUUAAACUCCCACCGCCGUUAUGGACGGCUUAUAUUUCUAACAUUUUGUAAUGUAAGUGAACCACGUGGCUUUUUUAUUUUCUGUAUGAUGGAAUGAGUUAAGACACAAGUUAUUGAAACAAUUCUAAAUGACAGUGUGAUGAUUCUUUAUGAGGGAAAAAUAUGUUAAGGAUAAUGUUUCUCAAUGUAAAAUUGCAAAGAACUUUUGGAUAGGAUACAACAUUUUAUAAACAGUUACCUCAGAACCUGCCGAUAUUCAAGCUGAAGAAAAUUAAAAGUUUUUUUGUUGCUCUACAGAUUAAAGAGAAAUAUGUUUAACGAUUCAACAAGAGCCACACCUUCAACACAUAUACAUUCAAAUUUUGGAUCAGGCUCAACAUUGCUGUUGUUCAGUAGUUUUUAGCCGCUCUCAAAAGUCAUUUUAUGGCUUUAAUAUUUCCAGCUGAUAAGGAGACUUACAGCAUUUCAAAGGGUAAAUGGACUGAUUCUUAUUUAGUGCUUUUCUCUCUUCCAGAGUACUCAAAGCGCUCUAUACAACAUGCCUCAUUCAUGCAAGCACUUCUAAACACAAGUGCAAACUAAUCUACAUUCACACACAGUCACACUCCGAGGAAUGCAUCGGAUUUGGGGUUAGUAUCUUGCCCAAGGACACUUAGCAUGCAGACUGAGGAAGUCUAGGAUCGAACCACCAAGCUUCUGAUCAGUAGCUGAUCUGCUCUACCACCUGAGCCACAGACGUCCAAGUGCUAUAAACAUCCACUUUGUCUGCAACGACAGUAUCAAACUACAGAGUAUUGUUUUUACUAAAAUUGUACAUUUUCAGGUGAAAAUUUGGCUGCUCCCCCCCCCUCACUGUUACACCCCCUCACUGUUACACCCCCCCUCAAUACCAUUUCUUAGGAUGAUCUUCUUGGAUAUUCUUUUUUUUUAAUAUUUAUCCUUUUGGAGUGAGGGUAUCUAAUACGCACAUUGUCACUGUGUUUUGUACUACCAACUGCGAGGGCUCUGCUUUUACUUUGAGCAGUCUGUUUUUAUUUUGUCUCGUGAGUGCGUGUUUUUCAAACCAGAUCUUCAUCAGUUUGAUUUUGUCACCACAAACUUUGUGUGAACUUCACAACAGAGGUAAAGAGAUUGAAACACACCAGUUUAAGGAGGCAGCGGUUGGACCAGCUGCACAGGACAGGUGAAGAAGAGAGUGUCAGGGGAGACGUGCAAAGAAGCAGAGGGAACAUUUUACAAGAUGAUAAAUGGCAGAUUUAGAUGACUAAGGUCUUUGUUGUCAAGAUUAAAAGACACCUCACAAUCACAAUCAUUUGACACCUCUCAGUCGACUGAUUGUGUUAGUGAAAAAGCAGCUAAAUACACUGAGAUUGCGCCACGUUGUUUGUGAGCUGUGGGUUUUUGUCAAACUUGGAGUGAACAAAAGCAGAAAAACAGUAAAAGAUUCGGACAUUGAGAUUCUGGUUUAUUUCAUGAAUACAAUGAAACAUUUUACAGUCCACAGAGCAAAGUAGCAUACAUGAUAAAUAGAUACAUAUAACACGGACCGUGAGAAGUUAAACUGUCAUCA
Molecule: long non-coding RNA, 4122 nt
Organism: Pelmatolapia mariae (spotted tilapia)
Lineage: Eukaryota; Metazoa; Chordata; Actinopteri; Cichliformes; Cichlidae
Exons: 3
Source: RefSeq, a predicted model, not a curated record